Molecule: ribosomal RNA, 843 nt
Filed under: uncultured bacterium
Lineage: Bacteria
Description: bacterial SSU rRNA
Rfam family: Bacterial small subunit ribosomal RNA
Source: RNAcentral
ACGAACUCUGGUAUUGAUUGGUGCUUGCAUCAUGAUUUACAUUUGAGUGAGUGGCGAACUGGUGAGUAACACGUGGGAAACCUGCCCAGAAGCGGGGGAUAACACCUGGAAACAGAUGCUAAUACCGCAUAACAACUUGGACCGCAUGGUCCAAGUUUGAAAGAUGGCUUCGGCUAUCACUUUUGGAUGGUCCCGCGGCGUAUUAGCUAGAUGGUGGGGUAACGGCUCACCAUGGCAAUGAUACGUAGCCGACCUGAGAGGGUAAUCGGCCACAUUGGGACUGAGACACGGCCCAAACUCCUACGGGAGGCAGCAGUAGGGAAUCUUCCACAAUGGACGAAAGUCUGAUGGAGCAACGCCGCGUGAGUGAAGAAGGGUUUCGGCUCGUAAAACUCUGUUGUUAAAGAAGAACAUAUCUGAGAGUAACUGUUCAGGUAUUGACGGUAUUUAACCAGAAAGCCACGGCUAACUACGUGCCAGCAGCCGCGGUAAUACGUAGGUGGCAAGCGUUGUCCGGAUUUAUUGGGCGUAAAGCGAGCGCAGGCGGUUUUUUAAGUCUGAUGUGAAAGCCUUCGGCUCAACCGAAGAAGUGCAUCGGAAACUGGGAAACUUGAGUGCAGAAGAGGACAGUGGAACUCCAUGUGUAGCGGUGAAAUGCGUAGAUAUAUGGAAGAACACCAGUGGCGAAGGCGGCUGUCUGGUCUGUAACUGACGCUGAGGCUCGAAAGUAUGGGUAGCAAACAGGAUUAGAUACCCUGGUAGUCCAUACCGUAAACGAUGAAUGCUAAGUGUUGGAGGGUUUCCGCCCUUCAGUGCUGCAGCUAACGCAUUAAGCAUUCCGCC